RNAcentral lists this unclassified non-coding RNA (717 nucleotides) under Hevea brasiliensis (rubber tree). The record is from RNAcentral. Lineage: Eukaryota; Viridiplantae; Streptophyta; Magnoliopsida; Malpighiales; Euphorbiaceae.
GCCUCUCCAACAAGUUUCUGGAACAUCCAUAAGCUCCAGCUCUUUUCCGUAAUUCUUUUCCUGCUGGUGUUCUUGGAGUGAAAUGCUCUGACUUGGAAGUUACGCCCUUCAACUGAUUUUGAUUAUCAGGAUCAGGAAAAGAUGCAGCUGACGAGGGACAGUUCAGCUCCAACUGAAGCUCACAUAAUGCUUCAGCCAUGCUCAACGUCCUUGACCACUGGCAAUUGCAGAGCAGCAUACACUUCACCAUGUCCUCAAACAAUGUCGGCGAUCUAAACACUCUCCCAAAUCCUCUCUCCUUUGCUUCUCCACAGAUCUCCUGAAACAAUUUCACUCUUUUAUUCUCUUCCACUGAUAAUCUCACCAUUCGCCUCACUUGACCCAGCAGAGAGCGUUGGUGUAUAGUAGAAAGGGAAUCAGUAUCGAGAACACGUAGAAGGAGGGAAUGAGGAUAAUCCGACGGUUGAGUAAUUUGGACGAGAACCGAUUGUUCGUGAUCAUCAUCGUUAAUGUUUUCGGAGAGGCGUAGUGGGCGUUCUAGGGUUUUGGAGAGAGUGUCCCAUCGGUUUGGGGCCAUCAUGAAUAAGCCGUGGCUACAUACUGCUUUUUCCAAAUCGAAUGAGGCGCAGUAUCCGUUUCCGUCUUCGAGUGGUAGCUCCACCACCACGCUGCGGUGGCGAUCGAUCUCUUGCCGGUGCUGCAUUUUACUGGUUAGAG